UGGGGAAUAUUGGGCAAUGGGCGAAAGCCUGACCCAGCAACGCCGCGUGAAGGAAGAAGGCCUUCGGGUUGUAAACUUCUUUUAUUUAGGAAGAUAAUGACGGUACUGAAUGAAUAAGCUCCGGCUAACUACGUGCCAGCAGCCGCGGUAAUACGUAGGGAGCAAGCGUUAUCCGGAUUUACUGGGUGUAAAGGGCGCGUAGGCGGGAUGGUAAGUCAGAUGUGAAAUACCGAGGCUCAACCUCGGGGCUGCAUUUGAAACUAUCAUUCUUGAGUGAUGGAGAGGCAGGCGGAAUUCCCGGUGUAGCGGUGGAAUGCGUAGAUAUCGGGAGGAACACCAGUGGCGAAGGCGGCCUGCUGGACAUUAACUGACGCUGAGGCGCGAAAGCGUGGGGAGCAAACA
Molecule: ribosomal RNA, 402 nt
Rfam family: Bacterial small subunit ribosomal RNA